Long non-coding RNA from Ornithorhynchus anatinus (platypus), 496 nucleotides. RefSeq lists it as uncharacterized. NCBI's taxonomy places the organism in Eukaryota, Metazoa, Chordata, Mammalia, Monotremata, Ornithorhynchidae. The record is from RefSeq and is a predicted model, not a curated record. The transcript has 3 exons.
GCAAAGCCCUGAAGCGUUAGCUCCAGUGACAUGCACUCAUGGCAAAUGAAGUCACUUACCAAACUGUCCAGUCCCAUUUACUCCUUAAGGGCAAGUACUCUGAAGCCAGGGAAACAUGGAAAUAUUUAGUGAGAGGAAAAGGCAAGUGGAAGAACAGAGGUUAGGCCCACUGUCACGACUGCUGUAGCCCUGGUUGGCUGGAAUGCCUAGUGUGGAUCGGGAAGAAGCUUGCGCGGUAGAUGCUGCUCCUGCUGUUCUUUCAUCGGUCUUCUCCCGUCACUUUCUGCGUCUCUGGUCCACUUCCUCUCCAGGACACCUGAAUGGAGUAUGCUCCUCACCAUACCGCUUAUGGCCAACUGUCUUGGACUCAUCUUCAGUCCCUCAUGGGGAGUAAGCAACAGGACAGGCACAGAUUGGCUAGAAGCACUUGUGUACUAAGUGCCUGGAAGCCUUGCUCCAUUAAAGAGAGAGAUAAUGGAGCUGUGAGAAAAGAGAG